CUUCCAAGCAUGGCAUAGAUAAAGAAGGCAACAAAUCUGCAUUUUCUUUUACAGGACUGCAGCAGGAGCUUGCUGCAUCUUGGCUUUCUAUUUAGAGUGAGAAUGAGAGGAAUUGAGGAUCCCCCUGUUCUGCGCAAAGCCCAGGAGAAGGAAGAGAUGCAGGAGGAGUUGCCUGUCUCCAGCCACUGCCCAGGCACAGGGGACAGAGGCACACCCACAGCCACUGUGGCGCAGCUGAGUUCCUCCACAGCCAGAAAUGGUGGGAGAAAACUCUGGUGCUGAGUCACAUUUCCUUCCCAUGGGCUCAUGCUGGGAUGGAUGGAUGCGCCUGCCCUGUGCCUGCAGGGCCUCACUGCAUGGCUCCUGCUGGGUGAGCGUGCUGGACUGAUCGAGGUGGAUGCAGUGGUCCCCGUCAGAUGUGUGCCAAAUUGAAAUGCCAGCAGCUGUGUGAGCAGCGGGAUAAUCAUAUCUGCUGCUUCUCUCUUCCAAGUCCUGGCAUUCCCAUUUCAGCAAUGGUGUGUCCGUGCUCAGCUCCGCGGGAGGAAAUCCAUUGACCGAAGCCAUGCUGACGCCUGGGGGAUGCGGUUACAUGUUCAUCAGUCACCUGUCUGACUGUGGACCCACUGGGAUGCAGAGCAAUAGGAGAGCAAUGGACUGUCCUCAAAGAGGGCCAUGAGCUGCACUGCCAGUGGGGAAGAACUGCUUCUGCUCAUCCGGGUAAUGUCGCUGUGUUGGCUGAAAAGUCUCCACUUGGUCCUGAGCGGUGCCACCUGCAGAUCCCUGCACCCACU
This 791-nucleotide long non-coding RNA is filed under the name Gallus gallus (chicken). Lineage: Eukaryota; Metazoa; Chordata; Aves; Galliformes; Phasianidae. The record is from RNAcentral.